AGGACAAACGCUGGCGGCGUACCUAAGACAUGCAAGUCGAACGGAGACUGUGUCUUCGGAUGCAGUUUGAGUGGCGAACGGGUGAGUAACGCGUAGGAACCCGCCUCGAUGUGGGGGAUAACACUUGGAAACAGGUGCUAAUACCGCAUGUGGUCGAGAGAAGAAAGGCUCUGUAAGGAGUCGCAUUGAGAGGGGCCUGCGUCCGAUUAGCUAGUUGGUGAGGUAAAGGCUUACCAAGGCGACGAUCGGUAGCUGGU
This 257-nucleotide ribosomal RNA is filed under the name uncultured bacterium. RNAcentral's name for it is "partial small subunit ribosomal RNA". It matches the Rfam family "Bacterial small subunit ribosomal RNA", at positions 26 to 291 of the family's 1533-position model. The record is from RNAcentral.